This 381-nucleotide unclassified non-coding RNA is filed under the name soil metagenome. RNAcentral describes it as "partial contains 5.8S ribosomal RNA, internal transcribed spacer 2, and large subunit ribosomal RNA". The stretch from base 1 to 120 matches the Rfam family "5.8S ribosomal RNA", at positions 35 to 154 of the family's 154-position model. The record is from RNAcentral.
GAUGAAGAACGUAGCGAAAUGCGAUAAGUAAUGUGAAUUGCAGAAUUCAGUGAAUCAUCGAAUCUUUGAACGCACCUUGCGCUCCUUGGUAUUCCGAGGAGCAUGCCUGUUUGAGUGUCAUUAAUAUAUCAACCUCUUCAGCUUAUGCUUGUUGAGUGUUGGAUGGUGGGGGUUUGCUGGUGUCUUAUGAAGUCAGCUCCUCUGAAAUGCAUUAGCGGAACAAUUUGUUGACCGUUCAUUGGUGUGAUAAAAAUAUCUACGCUAUUGACGUCAGUCAGUUCAGCUUCUAACAGUCCAUUGACUUGGACAAAUCUUUCAUUAAUGUGACCUCAAAUCAGGUAGGACUACCCGCUGAACUUAAGCAUAUCAAUAAGCGGAGGA